GGUUGAUCCUGCCAGUAGUCAUAUGCUUGUCUCAAAGAUUAAGCCAUGCAUGUCUAAGUAUAAAUAAAUUUAUAUUGUGAAACUGCGAAUGGCUCAUUAAAUCAGUUAUGAUCUACGUGACAUAUUCAUUACUACUUGGAUAACCGUGGUAAUUCUAGAGCUAAUACAUGCAGAAAAACCCUGACUUUUUUUUGAAGGGGUGCACUUAUUAGAUAAAACCAACACUGGGUAAAACCAGUUUUCCUUGGUGAUUCAUAAUAAUUUAGCGGAUCGCAUGGCCUUGUGCUAGCGA
This 292-nucleotide ribosomal RNA is filed under the name uncultured eukaryote. Its description in RNAcentral is "partial 18S ribosomal RNA". It matches the Rfam family "Eukaryotic small subunit ribosomal RNA", at positions 6 to 290 of the family's 1831-position model. The record is from RNAcentral.